GACGAACGCUGGCGGCGUGCUUAACACAUGCAAGUCGAACGAAGUGGCGAACGGGUGAGUAACGCGUAAUCAACCUGCCCUUCAGAGGGGGACAACAGUUGGAAACGACUGCUAAUACCGCAUACUGAAGGAGGGGAUUGCGUCUGAUUCGCUAGUUGGAGGGGUAACGGCCCAACAAGGCGAUGAUCAGGAGCCUGGGUUGGAGGAGGAACGGCCCCAUUGUGACGGAGACACGGCCCAGACUCAUACGGGAGGCAGCAGUGGGGAAUCUUUCGCAAUGGACGAAAAUCUGACGGAGCAGCGCCGCGUGAGGGAUGACGGCCUUCGGGUUGUAAAGCUCUGUUAAUCGGGACGCGUUACCGGAAGAGAAAGCCACGGCUAACUACGUGCCAGCAGCCGCGGUAAUUC
Molecule: ribosomal RNA, 408 nt
Filed under: uncultured bacterium
Lineage: Bacteria
Description: partial 16S ribosomal RNA
Rfam family: Bacterial small subunit ribosomal RNA
Source: RNAcentral